This 617-nucleotide ribosomal RNA is filed under the name uncultured Syntrophobacterales bacterium. Its description in RNAcentral is "bacterial SSU rRNA". It matches the Rfam family "Bacterial small subunit ribosomal RNA", at positions 56 to 653 of the family's 1533-position model. The record is from RNAcentral. Lineage: Bacteria; Pseudomonadati; Thermodesulfobacteriota; Syntrophobacteria; Syntrophobacterales.
UGCAGUCGUACGUGAAAGUUCCGCAAGGAACAAGUAAAGUGGCGAACGGGUGAGUAAUACAUAGGUAAUCUACUUAUAAGUUCGGGAUAACAGUUCGAAAGGAUUGCUAAUACCGGAUAAUGUGCUUAGUCAAAAGAUUAAGUACCAAAGGUGGCCUCUUCACAAUGCUAUCGAUUAUAAAUGAGCCUAUGGACCAUUAGUUAGUUGGCAGGGUAAUGGCCUACCAAGACAAAGAUGGUUAGCUGGUCUGAGAGGAUGACCAGCCACACUGGAACUGAAACACGGUCCAGACUCCUACGGGAGGCAGCAGUGGGGAAUAUUGCGCAAUGGGGGAAACCCUGACGCAGCAACGCCGUGUGAGCGAUGAAGGCCUUCGGGUUGUAAAGCUCUGUUAAAUAAGAAGAAACUCCCAUAUUCUAAUACAAUAUGGGAUUGACGGUAUUAUUAGAGAAAGCACCGGCUAACUCCGUGCCAGCAGCCGCGGUAAGACGGAGGGUGCAAGCGUUGUUCGGAAUUACUGGGCGUAAAGGGCGUGUAGGCGGUCUAAUAAGUUAGGUGUGAAAUCUUCAGGCUCAACCUGAAAAGUGCACUUAAAACUGUUAAACUAGAGAGUGGUA